ACUGCAUGCCAGCCUGGGCGACGGAGCAAGACUGUUUCAAAAAAAAAAAGUUUCGUGAUUUCUUUAUUCCUUUGCAUAGCUGAAACAAGUCUUAUCAAAAGAUUGUGAAACUGUAAUCAAAUUAGAACAAAUAUUUAAAAAAAUCUUGUACUGAAGCAUUCAUUCUAUUUUUUAGAGUUUCUGUGAAUUGUUCAACAAUAUUCCCAGUAUUAUAUUCAUAGGAAAACAGAUAAACAGCACAACAUGAGUGUUUCCUACCACAUCAAUUUUAAUGAAGACACUUUCUAUAUUAGGAUCCUGUCAUUUAUGAAUUGUUUGUAUUUUAAAUUUUUUUGUGUCUUAGCGACAUAAAUUGUUAAUCAUUGGGAUACAUGUGUUUACUUUCACCCAGUGAAAAAUUGCAUGUCUAAGCUCAACACAAUCUGGUCAUAGAGAUGUCUCCACAUUGUUCAAAUGGUCUCUUCUGUGUAGCAUUUUAGGAAGUUGGAUCCAGGAGCAGCAAGGCGGGCCAGAUUUCUCCUAACUUUAUUCUUACCUCCUCUUUCCCAGCAUUACCUUUACUCUUCACAUUUUUCCAAGAUCAGUAGAAAAUGAACAGAUCCCAGGUACCUGUGUGGGUUCCCUCAGACCUGGCCCCAGUACUUUUGCCUUUCCUUGGGAGCCAUCUGAUUCACUGCUGGUUUCAGCAGCCACCAACAUGCCAGUGACUCCGCAGUCCUCAGCUUCAUUACGGGCUUCCCUUCUGAGCUCCAGAACCACUCAUCCAGCUCCCUCCUGAAGAUCCCUGCCUGCCCGUUCCACAGACACUUCGAGCACAACAUGUCCGAGACCCCUCUAGCCCUUACCUUUUGCCCAGCCUCUUUCUUUGCACUUCCCAGUCUUUGCAAAUGGCACCUGGAUUUACCUGGAGGCUCAUAAAGAAACUCUGGGAGAUAAUUUCCCCAUCUUUCUUUUGCACCAUGAAUUUGGGACCAAUAUCUCUUAAUGUCUUAUUUUGUAGGAUCAAUUCUUCUUUCCAGGAGUUAGCUAACGUCUUUUGUAAAGAGCCAGAUAGCGAAUAUUUUAUGCUUUGUGGACCAAGAAAUAAAAUCAAGGAUAUAUGUAGGACUUAUUGAGCAAGAGACAGAAGAAAUUUACACAAUUUUUGUUUUGUUUUGUUUUAUUUUGUUUGUUUGUUUUGAUAUGAGGUCUUUGGCCUCACUCUGUUGCCAGGCUGAAGUGCAAUGGUGUGAUCACGGCUCACUGCAGCCUAGACCUCCUAGGCUCAAGUGAUUCUUCCACGUCAGCCUCCUGAGUAGCUGGGACCACACAGCCACCACGCUGCCACAUCCCGCCAUGAGCUGCUAAUUUAAAAAAUUUCUGUGAAGAUGGGGUUUUGCCACAUUGCCCAGGCUACCGCCAGUUUUUGUUGAUGAAAUUCAAAAUAUAAUCAUGAUUGUGUUAUAGUGUUUUGCAAUACAGGUCUACUAAUGAGAAAAGUGGAAUUCUUUUGGGGUGGUUAACAUUUUGCUUAAUUGAGGUUCUUUGUUACUAUUCUAUGUCAUCAAAAUCUAUUGCAAAUCAUCAUCUGCUAAUGUUGAAUUGUAAUGAGCUUUCACAUAUUUCAUCUUUGAAAAUGUGUUUCACAUAGGUACUACCAGUUACUGAUAUCAGUCCACAAACAUGAUUUUAUUUUAUUAUUUUAUUUUAUUUUAUUUUAUUUUGAGAUGGAGUCUCGCUCUAUCGCCCAGGCUGGAGUGUAGUGGCAUGAUCUCGGCUCACUGCAAGCUCCACCUCCUGAGUUCACGCCAUUCUCCUGCCUCAGCCUCCCAAGUAGCUGGGACUACAAGCGCCCGCCACCACGCCCGGCUAAUUUUUUUGUAUUUUUUAGUAGAGACUGGGUUUCACCAUGUUAGCCAGAAUGAUUUCGAUUUCCUGACCUCGUGAUCCGCCGGCCUCGGCCUCCCAAAGUCAUGAUUUUAUUUUUUAAAAAUAAAUUUAAUGUGUAUUUUUGAGGCUUACAACAUGUUAUGGGAUAUGUAUAGAUAGUAAAGUGUUUAGUGAAGCAGAUUAAUGGAUCUGUCAUCUCACAUAGUUGCUUUUGUUGUGACAAGAGCAGCUACAGUUUACUUAAUAAAAAUCUCUAAUAGAAUUUUACUAAUUUUAGUCCUUAUGUUGUACAUUAGAACUCUAAAGGUGUUCAGGCCAGGCGUGGUGGCUCAUGCCUGUAAUCCCAGCACUUUUGGAGGCCGAGGCAGGUGGAUCACCUGAGGUCAGCAGUUUGAGACCAGCCUGACCAACAUGGAGAAACCCCGUCUCUACCAAAGAUACAAAAUUAGCUGGGUGUGGUGUCGCAUGCCUGUAAUCCCAGCUACUCAGGUGGCUGAGGCAGGAGAAUUCCUUGAACCUGGGAGGCGGAGGUUGCGGUGAGCUGAGAUUGCUCCAUUGCACUCCAGCCGAGGCAACAAGAGCGAAACUCCUUCUCAAAAACAAACAAACAAACAACAACAACAACAAAACUCUAGUGGUGUUCAUCCUACAUAUUUAAAAGUUUGUAUCCUUUGACCUACAUUUCCGCAUUUCCUUUACCACCCCUCCAACACCUGUGGAAACCACUGCUUUAUUCUCUGUCUUUGUAUUUGAACUCUUUCUAAAAAUAUGGCUAACAACCUGGCGUGAUGGCUCACACCUGUAAUCCCAGCACUUUGGGAAGCCGAAGAGGGUGGAUUGCCUGAGACUAGGAGUUCAGAUCAGCCUGGGCGACAUGGCGAAACCCUGUCUCUACAAACAGUAAAAAUAUCCAGGGAUCAGUGUCGCUCAAGGACGUGACUGUGGACUUCACCCAGGAGGAGUGGUAGCAUCUGGGCCCUAUUGAGAGGACCCUGUACAUGAAUGUAAUGCUGGAGAACUACAGCCUCCUCAUCUCAGUGGGGUAUUGCAUUAGCAAGCCAAAGGUGGUCUUCAAGUUGCAGCAAGGAGAGGAGGCAUGGAUAUUAGAGGAAGAGUCCUCAAGCCAAAGCCACUUUGACAGGGUCUUGCUCUGCCACUCAGGCUGGAGUACAAUGGUGCAGUAACCAUUUACAAUAGCAUUAAAAAAAUUAAGAUACUUCAGAGUAUAUUUAACCAAAUGAGGCAAGACUUGUACACUGAAACUACAAAACAUUGUUGAAAGAAACUAAAUACUACAAUGUGUGGCUAUUCC
This 3181-nucleotide long non-coding RNA is filed under the name Homo sapiens (human). RNAcentral's name for it is "HSALNT0357517". The record is from RNAcentral. Lineage: Eukaryota; Metazoa; Chordata; Mammalia; Primates; Hominidae.